Molecule: ribosomal RNA, 503 nt
Filed under: Portia taiwanica
Lineage: Eukaryota; Metazoa; Arthropoda; Arachnida; Araneae; Salticidae
Description: partial 16S ribosomal RNA
Rfam family: Archaeal large subunit ribosomal RNA (bases 103-400)
Source: RNAcentral
UGCCUUUUAAUUGAAGGCUAGAACAAAAGAUUUAACAUUUUAAUUCUUUUCUUUAAAUUUUAAUUUUAAAUUAUCUUAAAUGUAAAAAGACAUUUAUUUAAAAGAAAGACGAUAAGACCCUAUUGAACUUAACUUAAGUUAAACUGGGGAAGUAAAUUAAUUAUCACUUUAAUCUCAAUAUUUUAAUAUUAAUCUAAUUAUUUAAUUAAUUAAAUCAGUUACCAUAGGGAUAACAGCGUAAUUUUCAUUAUAAGAUCUUAUAUAAAUAAAAGUUUACGACCUCGAUGUUGAAUUAACUACUUAAUUUUUGCAAAAAAAAAGAGAAGAAGUCUGUUCGACUUUUAAAAAGUUACAUGAUUUGAGUUCAGACCGGUAUAAGCCAGGUCAGUUUCAAUCUUCUAUAAUAUAAUAUACAGUACGAAAGGACCUAUAAUAAUAAUAUUAUUAUCAAUUUAGCAAAUAAAUGCAUUAGAAUUAGAAUCUAAUUAAACUUCAUUAUACUC